GAGUGAACGCUGGCGGCGUGCCUAACACAUGCAAGUCGCACGAGAACGCUUCAGCUUGCUGAAGCUAGUAAAGUGGCGCACGGGUGAGUAACGCGUGGGUAACCUACCUCCGAAUUGGGGAUAACAUUGCGAAAGCGAUGCUAAUACCGAAUAACAUCCCUUGUCCCUCGGUGCUUGGGAUCAAAGGUGGCCUCUCCAUGGAAGCUACCGUUUGGAGACGGGCCCGCGUACCAUUAGCUUGUUGGUAGGGUAACGGCCUACCAAGGCUACGAUGGUUAGCUGGUCUGAGAGGAUGAUCAGCCACACUGGAACUGACACACGGUCCAGACUCCUACGGGAGGCAGCAGUGAGGAAUUUUGCGCAAUGGGGGAAACCCUGACGCAGCAACGCCGCGUGAGUGAUGAAGGCUUUCGGGUCGUAAAGCUCUGUCAAGUGGGAAGAACCUACAUGAUGUUAAUACCAUCUUGUACUGACGGUACCACUGAAGGAAGCACCGGCUAACUCCGUGCCAGCAGCCGCGGUAAUACGGGGGGUGCUAGCGUUACUCGGAAUUACUGGGCGUAAAGCGCGCGUACGCGGU
This 580-nucleotide ribosomal RNA is filed under the name uncultured Desulfobacteraceae bacterium. RNAcentral's name for it is "bacterial SSU rRNA". It matches the Rfam family "Bacterial small subunit ribosomal RNA", at positions 27 to 579 of the family's 1533-position model. The record is from RNAcentral. Lineage: Bacteria; Pseudomonadati; Thermodesulfobacteriota; Desulfobacteria; Desulfobacterales; Desulfobacteraceae.